CACGUAGUUAGCCGGAGCUUACUUUACAGGUACUGUCUAUUUUUUCUUCCCUGUCUACAAUAGUUUACAAUCCGAAAACCUUCUUCCUAUACGCGGCGUCACUGCGUCAGAGUUUCCUCCAUUGCGCAAUAUUCCCGACUGCUGCCUCCCGUAGGAGUCUGGGCCGUAUCUCAGUCCCAAUGUGGCCGUUUAACCUCUCAGUUCGGCUACUGAUCGUCGUCUUGGUAACGCCUUUACCCCACCAACUAACUAAUCAGUCGCAAGUUCAUCUAUUAGCGGUAUUUCUCCUUUCCCAUUUGUAUCAUGCGAUUCUCAUGGCAUAUGCGGUAUUAGCACUGUAUUUCUCUAGUUGUUUACUUCCCCUACUAAUAGGCAGUAUUACUUACGUGUUACUCACCAGUCCGCCACUAACCUCUUACUAAAUAGUAAACUAUUACAAAUUCUAGUUCGUUCGACUUGCUAUGUCUUAGUGUCGCGCCGCAGUCGUUUAUCCGUGACGCGAG
RNAcentral lists this ribosomal RNA (503 nucleotides) under uncultured bacterium. Its description in RNAcentral is "partial 16S ribosomal RNA". The record is from RNAcentral.